RNAcentral lists this ribosomal RNA (752 nucleotides) under uncultured bacterium. RNAcentral's name for it is "bacterial SSU rRNA". It matches the Rfam family "Bacterial small subunit ribosomal RNA", at positions 638 to 1390 of the family's 1533-position model. The record is from RNAcentral.
UGACUNGAGUGCAGAAGGGGAGAGUGGAAUUCCAUGUGUAGCGGUGAAAUGCGUAGAUAUAUGGAGGAGCACCAGUGGCGAAAGCGGCUCUCUGGUCUGUCACUGACGCUGAGGCUCGAAAGCGUGGGUAGCGAACAGGAUUAGAUACCCUGGUAGUNCACGCCGUAAACGAUGAGUGCUAGGUGUUAGGCCCUUUCCGGGGCUUAGUGCCGGAGCUAACGCAAUAAGCACUCCGCCUGGGGAGUACGACCGCAAGGUUGAAACUCAAAGGAAUUGACGGGGGCCCGCACAAGCGGUGGAGCAUGUGGUUUAAUUCGAAGCAACGCGAAGAACCUUACCAGGUCUUGACAUCCCGAUGCUAUUCUUAGAGAUAGGAAGUUACUUCGGUUCAUCGGAGACAGGUGGUGCAUGGUUGUCGUCAGCUCGUGUCGUGAGAUGUUGGGUUAAGUCCCGCAACGAGCGCAACCCUUAUUGUUAGUUGCCAUCAUUAAGUUGGGCACUCUAGCGAGACUGCCGGUAAUAAACCGGAGGAAGGUGGGGAUGACGUCAAAUCAUCAUGCCCCUUAUGACCUGGGCUACACACGUGCUACAAUGGUCGGUACAACGAGUUGCGAGCCGGUGACGGCAAGCUAAUCUCUGAAAGCCGAUCUCAGUUCGGAUUGGAGGCUGCAACUCGCCUCCAUGAAGUCGGAAUCGCUAGUAAUCGCGGAUCAGCACGCCGCGGUGAAUACGUUCCCGGGCCUUGUACACAC